CGCGGGCCCGGGGAAGGCUACGGGUGGGGGGGCCGAGCCGAGGUCCCGGGCCGUCGAGGGGUCCGGCGGGCGUGCGGGGAUGAGCGGAUCCCUGAGCCGGGCAGCGGCGGCUCUGCUCCGCUGGGGGCGCGGUGCGGGCGGCGGCGGUCUGCGGGGCCCGGGCGUGCGGACGGCGGGCUCGGGCGGCGGCGGGGGCAGCUCGGCGGAGCAGCUGGACGCCCUGGUGAAGAAGGACAAGGUGGUGGUCUUCCUCAAGGGGACUCCGGAGCAGCCCCAGUGCGGCUUCAGCAACGCGGUGGUGCAGAUCCUGCGGCUGCACGGCGUCCGCGACUACGCGGCCUACAACGUGCUGGACGACCCCCAGCUCCGGCAAGACCGUCAGCCCCAUGGUCCAGAACUGACCAGAACAAUCGUGUGGCUGCCCUGUCCUAGGAAGCGCCUCAUCUCUGUGUCCUCAGAACGAUUCGCACACAGGACCAAUCACAUGCGUGCUGGUUGGUUGCUGUGAGCUCUUGAGAACAGGGAGGGGGUCUCUCUUAGCCCGUGGCCCUGCACCUGGCCCAGGUCAUGGGCCUUAACCGAGCUUCGGGCCUUUCCUUGCUUUGACUCAGUCACUGCAAGUUCUGUGCUGAGCCACAUCAGCCUGCCCCACGGAGAGCCCACCCGUGGGGCUGAAUAGGGUGAGGGCUGCAGUCUGCCACAGGAAAGAGAUUGUUCUCUGGGUAAAAGGAUUAUUAAAAAUAAAACCCAGUGACUCAACAUCUUGGUGCUGUUCACCAACCCAGCCAGGCACGGAAAGCCUGAGGUGAGGCCUGCCUCAUCUGGCAGACGUACCGUGAUGGCGACCCACGUUAAGUAGUCCAUUUGAAAAUGAAGUCUUAGCAUUUAAGUUUUGUUUUACGGAAUGCAUGUCUGGCAGAUGAAGGGAGACCAUGGCUUUGUACAUCUGGCGUGACUUACUUCCACCAGUCGGGUUCUCCGCCAUCAGUCCCUGUUGACGGUCUGUCAGCUGUCACUGCAGAGCCUCACCUCCCCGACUCGCGCAUUAAAGACUAUUCCAACUGGCCCACCAUCCCGCAGGUGUACCUCAACGGCGAGUUCGUGGGGGGCUGUGACAUUCUGCUGCAGAUGCACCAGAAUGGGGACCUGGUGGAGGAACUGAAAAAGCUGGGGAUCCGCUCGGC
Molecule: RNA transcript, 1184 nt
Organism: Zalophus californianus (California sea lion)
Lineage: Eukaryota; Metazoa; Chordata; Mammalia; Carnivora; Otariidae
Gene: GLRX5
Gene name: glutaredoxin 5
Exons: 3
Source: RefSeq, a predicted model, not a curated record